GCAGCAUGGUCUUAGCUUGCUAAGGCCGAUGGCGACCGGCGCACGGGUGAGUAACACGUAUCCAACCUGCCGUCUACUCUUGGACAGCCUUCUGAAAGGAAGAUUAAUACAAGAUGGCAUCAUGAGUCCGCAUGUUCACAUGAUUAAAGGUAUUCCGGUAGACGAUGGGGAUGCGUUCCAUUAGAUAGUAGGCGGGGUAACGGCCCACCUAGUCUUCGAUGGAUAGGGGUUCUGAGAGGAAGGUCCCCCACAUUGGAACUGAGACACGGUCCAAACUCCUACGGGAGGCAGCAGUGAGGAAUAUUGGUCAAUGGGCGAGAGCCUGAACCAGCCAAGUAGCGUGAAGGAUGACUGCCCUAUGGGUUGUAAACUUCUUUUAUAAAGGAAUAAAGUCGGGUAUGGAUACCCGUUUGCAUGUACUUUAUGAAUAAGGAUCGGCUAACUCCGUGCCAGCAGCCGCGGUAAUACGGAGGAUCCGAGCGUUAUCCGGAUUUAUUGGGUUUAAAGGGAGCGUAGAUGGAUAUUUAAGUCAGUUGUGAAAGUUUGCGGCUCAACCGUAAAAUUGCAGUUGAUACUGGAUAUCUUGAGUGCAGUUGAGGCAGGCGGAAUUCGUGGUGUAGCGGUGAAAUGCUUAGAUAUCACGAAGAACUCCGAUUGCGAAGGCAGCCUGCUAAGCUGCAACUGACAUUGAGGCUCGA
Molecule: ribosomal RNA, 698 nt
Filed under: uncultured Bacteroidales bacterium
Lineage: Bacteria; Pseudomonadati; Bacteroidota; Bacteroidia; Bacteroidales
Description: bacterial SSU rRNA
Rfam family: Bacterial small subunit ribosomal RNA
Source: RNAcentral